CCUGAUGCGGAGAUGUUUUCCUCCCCACUCCAGACCUGCUCAGCCAACUCUGCCUGCCCCACCUCCCUGCUGAGCGCUGUGAUUCAUCCUCGAGUAAUUAACCAGCAGCAGCACAGAAAGUACCUGUCUCGGCAGAAGUGUGAAAUCACAUCUACACCUAACGGGAACCGGACUGAAGGCUUCCACUCUGAGUGACGCCCAGGGAGCUGCAAAGUGAUGAAAAGACAGAGUUGCCAAAACUCCCCGAACACGGUCUGGUUUCUGCGCAGCGUCCUUUUGGCUGUACUUUGGGAACUGAAAGUACAAAACCCCAUUUGCUGACUCAGAGUUAGUUAUGGGGGGCGUGGAGGUGGCAGGUUUUUCACUUGCUGGUCUGACCCUUGGAUCCCUGCCUGCAGGGUGCUUUGACCUGCUUGGCUCAUCUCUUGCUCCUCAGCUGAAUUUUCCCUGCUGUGCAUCCCUGGGCUUAUCUCAGGGUAUGAUUUGGUGUCCCUGCACAGGGCAUUUGUGCACACAGGGCCAGGAUCCCGUGUUUGCUGCCCCCCAGCCCUCACUGAGUCCCAGUCCUGCAGUUUAGUCUUAGGAGAGCUGCAUAAUUUACUCUUGCCUGCCUGAUAAUAACUUUGCAGGGACUUUAUAUGCUGAUAACCUCAGCAUGCUACACUCCAUUUGGGUCUUUCACCACCAGCUGCUCUGCAUUAGCCCAUUUUAAUGAACUUUGAUUAUAGACACAGCUCCUCGUUGCUAUUUUAGAGGACAUCUCUGCUUUUCUUGGGCUUCCUAGGAGCUGGGCUUUGGGGCCAUGAGCACAGGGCCUCACUGUUUGGGAUUUGCAUGUUGAGGUGUGGCUCAACCAACACUUUUCUUUCACUUGCUCUUCUGCCUAAGUCCCACAGUGUCUCACAUGGUGCAAAAUGAGAUGGACCCUUGCUGCUCUUGGGGCUGAAGAAGCAGGACGUGAAGAAAAUGCAGCCUCUGAUGUACCUGAGCACAGCAGCAGCCUCUUCCAGAAGGUCAUUACACCUGAACCUGUGCCUUUGGGCAGCCAGGUGACAGGGAGGUGAAAACAAAACAAUCCUGUUCCAGCUGGAGACUCAAGGACAAUCUCUUCAAACUUCAGGCCCAAAGCAUAAACAACGUGAGAAGAGGAGGGUGGGCAAGCGAGCAAGGAGGAUGAAACUUCAUAAUUUGAAGCUCCUUAAGGCAUCAGUUUUGGUGACCACAUGUGAUGAAGCCCUGCUUUCCUGGGGUUGGCUGAACACCUGCCUGCCCACGGGGAGUGGAGG
Molecule: long non-coding RNA, 1286 nt
Organism: Vidua chalybeata
Lineage: Eukaryota; Metazoa; Chordata; Aves; Passeriformes; Viduidae
Exons: 3
Source: RefSeq, a predicted model, not a curated record